GGAAGCCCCCGGGCGCAGAAGGGGCACGGGCGACCCCGGCCCCUGGGAGUCCCGGGAACGCGCUGUCCCGGGCACCGAGGCGGCUUCGCGAGUACCGGCCUCCAGCGCCCUCACCUGGCCGCCGCUGGCGGGACGCAGGCUCCGCGGGCUCCGUGGGCUCGGGUCUGCGUCUCCCAGAGCCGCCGCCAGGGCCAGUCCCGGUCCCGCCCGGGCGCAAGGCCCCCGCCCGACUUGGGCAAGGCGGGGGCGCGUGGAACGAAGCUCCUCGGGGGGCGAGGGAGGGAGCUUCGGUGCCGCGCGGGCGUCAGGGGCUCCACGGGGGAGGAGUCAGGAAAAGUGGCUAUAAAAGCGGCCGCUCCGGCGGACUGCCGGGGAGCUGGCGCGCAACGGAGCCCAGCGCUGUGCGAUAGCUUGGAGCCUGGCGAGUGCAAGCGGCGCGGGGAGCCAGUGGGGCUGAGCGUGGCCAGGGUCGGAACCCGAUUUCCCACUAGGCUUGCCCACGCCCCGGGAGCUCGCGGUGCCCAGCGGUCAGAGGCAGACACCCGGAGCCGCUGCGCUCCUGGCCCGCGAGGUGUGGCACUGUCUCGGCCACCUACCCAGAGCCGCAGACUCACUCUCCGCGACCGCCGCCGUUCCCCAAGGGUCGGGCGCUACAGCAGUCCCAGGAGCUCUGCCAGCUGCCGGGUUUGAGGUCUCGAGUUCUUCUCCAAGCAGCCAACGCUACCCACAGGGACGCUGUCUUCACUUUAUAUUUACAUCAAGAACUUGAUGGAAUUGAUGAAAGUGCCAGAGUUGAUCACAAUGCAAAGAAUUUAUUAUUUAAAGAUAAAUGGAAGAAAUUGUAUGUGAUAAAAAUCAGUCAGCUGUUUUUUCCUACCUAUACCACUUGGAGGAAAGAGAAAA
This 903-nucleotide long non-coding RNA is filed under the name Callithrix jacchus (white-tufted-ear marmoset). RNAcentral's name for it is "lncRNA (ENSCJAG00000072696.1)". The record is from RNAcentral. Lineage: Eukaryota; Metazoa; Chordata; Mammalia; Primates; Cebidae.